UUGCCAUUUUUGUACCUCGUUGCAGGUCUUGAGUGGAAGUGUCGGCCGGUGGUGCUAACACCGGCCGACGCGCUU
RNAcentral lists this small RNA (75 nucleotides) under Enterobacter hormaechei. RNAcentral's name for it is "PtaRNA1". It matches the Rfam family "Plasmid transferred anti-sense RNA". The record is from RNAcentral. Lineage: Bacteria; Pseudomonadati; Pseudomonadota; Gammaproteobacteria; Enterobacterales; Enterobacteriaceae.